This 479-nucleotide long non-coding RNA is filed under the name Ananas comosus (pineapple). RNAcentral describes it as "long non-coding RNA (ACOM_LNC014350)". The record is from RNAcentral. Lineage: Eukaryota; Viridiplantae; Streptophyta; Magnoliopsida; Poales; Bromeliaceae.
CUCGUCAACAAACAUACAAUAUACGUGCUAGAGCAAGUGGCAAAAAAAUUUGAUGAUUGGUACUCGAAAUUCAAAUUCGAAUUUUAGUUGAUUUAUAUUUCCAGCUAAACUUAUUUCUAAAUGAAAUAAACGAAGUGGGUAGCGCCCGUGCUACCUAUCUCUCUUUCUCAAAAAAAAAAACAAACUUAUCUACAUAAUAUAUUUGGUUAGAGAAAAAGAAAAGAAAAAACCUGGUCCUCAUUUUUGUUGUAUGUCCCAUCUAUGUACCUACUAUUAGCACUAGCAAUUAGCUCCCAAUUCCGACCGUCCCUAACGCAAGCUAGUGGCAAAGGAUUUGAUAAUUGUUAUCCGAUAUCCCAAGUUCGAAUGCUAGUCGAUUCACAUUUUUAAUAAAAUUUAUUUUUUUAAAAAAAUAAACUAGACCGGUAGCACAUAUUCUACCUAUCUCUCUCUCUCUCUAAAAAAAAAAAAAACAAUUA